GUCCGACUAAGCCAUGCGAGUCAUGGGGCGCCUUGCGCGCACCGGCGGACGGCUCAGUAACACGUCGGUAACCUACCCUCGGGAGGGGGAUAACCCCGGGAAACUGGGGCUAAUCCCCCAUAGGCCUGAGGUACUGGAAGGUCCUCAGGCCGAAAGGGGCUCUGCCCGCCCGAGGAUGGGCCGGCGGCCGAUUAGGUAGUUGGUGGGGUAACGGCCCACCAAGCCGAAGAUCGGUACGGGCCAUGAGAGUGGGAGCCCGGAGAUGGACACUGAGACACGGGUCCAGGCCCUACGGGGCGCAGCAGGCGCGAAACCUCCGCAAUGCGGGCAACCGCGACGGGGGGACCCCCAGUGCCGUGGCAACGCCACGGCUUUUCCGGAGUGUAAAAAGCUCCGGGAAUAAGGGCUGGGCAAGGCCGGUGGCAGCCGCCGCGGUAAUACCGGCGGCCCGAGUGGUGGCCGCUAUUAUUGGGCCUAAAGCGUCCGUAGCCGGGCCCGUAAGUCCCUGGCGAAAUCCCACGGCUCAACCGUGGGGCUUGCUGGGGAUACUGCGGGCCUUGGGACCGGGAGAGGCCGGGGGUACCCCUGGGGUAGGGGUGAAAUCCUAUAAUCCCAGGGGGACCGCCAGUGGCGAAGGCGCCCGGCUGGAACGGGUCCGACGGUGAGGGACGAAGGCCAGGGGAGCGAACCGGAUUAGAUACCCGGGUAGUCCUGGCUGUAAAGGAUGCGGGCUAGGUGUCGGGCGAGCUUCGAGCUCGCCCGGUGCCGAAGGGAAGCCGUUAAGCCCGCCGCCUGGGGAGUACGGCCGCAAGGCUGAAACUUAAAGGAAUUGGCGGGGGAGCACUACAAGGGGUGGAGCGUGCGGUUUAAUUGGAUUCAACGCCGGGAACCUCACCGGGGGCGACGGCAGGAUGAAGGCCAGGCUGAAGGUCUUGCCGGACACGCCGAGAGGAGGUGCAUGGCCGCCGUCAGCUCGUACCGUGAGGCGUCCACUUAAGUGUGGUAACGAGCGAGACCCGCGCCCCCCAGUUGCCAGUCCUUCCCGCUGGGGAGGAGGCACUCUGGGGGGACCGCCGGCGAUAAGCCGGAGGAAGGAGCGGGCGACGGUAGGUCAGUAUGCCCCGAAACCCCCGGGCUACACGCGCGCUACAAUGGGCGGGACAAUGGGAUCCGACCCCGAAAGGGGAAGGGAAUCCCCUAAACCCGCCCCCAGUUCGGAUCGCGGGCUGCAACUCGCCCGCGUGAAGCUGGAAUCCCUAGUACCCGCGUGUCAUCAUCGCGCGGCGAAUACGUCCCUGCUCCUUGCACACACCGCCCGUCA
Molecule: ribosomal RNA, 1321 nt
Filed under: Thermococcus celer
Lineage: Archaea; Methanobacteriati; Methanobacteriota; Thermococci; Thermococcales; Thermococcaceae
Also listed under: 1 other name
Description: bacterial SSU rRNA
Rfam family: Archaeal small subunit ribosomal RNA
Source: RNAcentral